Molecule: ribosomal RNA, 460 nt
Filed under: uncultured bacterium
Lineage: Bacteria
Description: partial 16S ribosomal RNA
Rfam family: Bacterial small subunit ribosomal RNA
Source: RNAcentral
CCUACGGGAGGCAGCAGUGAGGAAUAUUGGUCAAUGGCCGGAAGGCUGAACCAGCCAAGUCGCGUGAGGGAAGACGGCCCUACGGGUUGUAAACCUCUUUUGUCAGGGAGCAAGGUGCAGGUCGGGACCUGCUGUGAGAGUACCUGAAGAAAAAGCAUCGGCUAACUCCGUGCCAGCAGCCGCGGUAGUACGUAGGAGGCAAGCGUUAUCCGGAAUGACUGGGCGUAAAGGGUGCGUAGGUGGUUUGACAAGUUAGUAGCGCAACUCCGUAGCUCAACUUCGGAACUACUACUAAAACUGUUGGACUUGAGUGCAGGAGGGGCAAUCGGAAUUCCUAGUGUAGCGGUGGAAUGCGUAGAUAUUAGGAGGAACACCAGUGGCGAAGGCGGAUUGCUAGACUGUAACUGACACUGAGGCACGAAAGCGUGGGGAGCAAACAGGAUUAGAUACCCUUGUAGUC